GCCUUGUGGUGUACAGCACAUAAAAUUGCAAAUUUUAAAGAGUAGAUAACUCUGCCGGGGCUU
This 63-nucleotide transfer RNA is filed under the name Desmognathus conanti. RNAcentral describes it as "tRNA-Cys". Lineage: Eukaryota; Metazoa; Chordata; Amphibia; Caudata; Plethodontidae. The record is from RNAcentral.